Molecule: long non-coding RNA, 1060 nt
Filed under: Carassius auratus (goldfish)
Lineage: Eukaryota; Metazoa; Chordata; Actinopteri; Cypriniformes; Cyprinidae
Description: lncRNA (ENSCARG00000029287.1)
Source: RNAcentral
UGCAAAUAAAUGGUACUUUUAGUCUGAAAGCUUAAGUACAGCUAACAUACUGUUUGACUGACACAUGUCAUUGACCUUGGGUGUUAGAUGCCAGGAAAUGGCACCUGUUGAAGUAGUCGAGGUGGGACAGGCCUUUCCAGGUGAGCUAUGUAAUUCAACCCUAAAGCAGCCUUCCUUUUCCCACAGCAGCUAUGAAUCGACACUUUAGCAGAGCUAAUGGCUCACUCCAGCCCUUUCACAGGCAGCCUAUUGUGCUCUGAAGCGAGCACAGAGGGAGGGGGGUAUGGUGUAAUCCUGAACGUGCCCUGGAUCAGUCUGUUUGAAUUUCACACCGACAUUGAUGUGCAUGUCCGUCCUCACUGAAGGUCCUCUAUGUGCACCGUUCCCAAGAAGACACAGCACAGGAUCACAUAACUAUCACUGCCCCUACCUCGCUGUGUCUGGUUACCCCUGUCAGGAGCAGCGCCAGCUGUUGUGCGUAGUACUCAGGGCAGACUGGUGAGAUGGCAGCAGUGUGGCACCAGGCGAGCAGAGAGCAUAUGGCCUGGAUGGCGUGACACAGCACACGGAACAGGAUGCGAUACUGCCGUCUCCCCUCCGGGACUGUCACCACGAGGAGCAGCCCUCCAGACACAGAUCCAAAACUACAUCAGAUCAAACUGUAUUUGUGAGCUGAGUGCCUAGGGGAGACUUGUCUUCUGAGGUGUAGCUUGGCAAAUCGCCUUGUGUACGGGGGGAAAAAGGAAAAAAUGAGAGCAGCUCUUCCAUAAACACCCCCCUCAGGCUUUCUCCGAGCACUUUUCCAUUCCAUAAGCAACAAAUUAUCAAGGUUUUUGUUGUUUCUGCACGCAAAUUGUUUGUACACUUCAACUCCAUUUUGAAGGGAUGUGUGUGCAUUCAAGCACGUUUUUCUUUUUUUUUUUCCACUUUGCUAGGUGGUUGGAAAAUGUCAAAGUCGGAUCCAAAUCUAGCAAUUCAUUGAAUUAGACAAACUCAAGCCCACACCAAUGACACUGAAAUAAAUUUAUAUAAUGACACAAGUUUAUGCCUCGCUGUUGUA